Molecule: long non-coding RNA, 2354 nt
Organism: Solanum pennellii
Lineage: Eukaryota; Viridiplantae; Streptophyta; Magnoliopsida; Solanales; Solanaceae
Exons: 3
Source: RefSeq, a predicted model, not a curated record
GAAAUGGCUUAGUCGAAAUUUGUGUGAAAUUUGUAACGGUAACAUUGCAUGUUUAAUUUGCCUAAAAUGAACCCGCUCCUUGAUAACCGUUACUCAUAUAUUAUGUACAUCUUCUAAUUCAAUAGGAAAAGUUGAAAACUAUAAACUGAGAGAGAGCAGAAACUAGGUACAGAGUAUAGCAAUGAGGGGAAGAAAAUGGUUAGGUUCAUUCCAACCAGAUUCACUUCCAUUGUUUCAGUUCGUUCGACCCUCAUCCUCUUUGAAGAGUUGUUGUUACUGAUAUAUGGAUCACAGGUGCAUGUUGUGCUCAAAAUUCAGUAUAGUUGGUGUUGGAAAGUCUGAGUUUUUUGGUCGGUGGUUUUGCUUAAGGUGUAGGGAUGGUGACUCCCCUUGGAUGUGGAGUGGAAACCACAUGGAAGAGGCUAAUAGAAGGGGAAUGUGGCUUAAGAGCAAUAUGUCCUGAUGACUUGAAGAUGAAUGGUUUUGAACAAGAUGUUAAGUUGUAUACAUUUGAUCAGUUGACAUCCAAAGUUGCUGCAAUUGUGCCCUAUGGUUCUAGCUCAGGCGAAUUUGACGAGCAGUUGUGGCUAAACUCUAAGCUGCUAAAACCCCGGAUUCCUCUGAGAAUCCCUGCAUUUAGGCUAACAUUGGUAUCAGACCCAAUAUAUCCUUGACAGCAGUGACAAAAUCAACAAGAGCUAAUGAGAGUUCUUCUAGUGAAGUAAGAGAGUUGCGUGAAGGGAUGCAGAAAAUGUUAUUGGAAGUUGGUACUCUAGCAAAGGAAGUUUCAAAUCUUAAAAAAUUGGACUUAGAUGAUGCUAGAGCGGAAGGAACAAAUGACAAGCAAUAUAAUGAAUCACAAGGAUAAAAUACCCACAAGAGAAGACAAAAUACCAGUGGGUGGAAGGCAGUCAAAGGAGCAAUCGCACAACAACUUCAUUAAUCAUAAUCCAUAUUACUCUCAAUGGUCGACAAUGUUCUUGAAGUUCUCUAGAAAAGAUCUUAAAUCUUGUUUGUGUAGAAUCGAUCAAUCGUUCAAUAUGGAGAACAUUCCUGUAAAGGAGAAGGUUAGCAUUGCUGCUCUACUGUUAGAAGGUGAAGCAGUUCGGUGGCACUUGUCCUUUAUGACAUUCAGGCAGUAAAUUCAACCACCAACUUGGAAUGAAUAUAAUGUAGCGUUAGUGGAAAGAUUUGGGGCAGAUUCUCCAAAGAAGCUAGUUAGUUUUGAAAUCUCUAAUCUUUCUCAUUUCUACCCACUGGAAACUUUUAUCAAGAAGACGUCAUAUACUUGAAAGGUUCUCGAUCAAAUGUCCAAAAGAGAUUUGGAUGUAGAUUCUCUCUAUUGUGGCACCACUGAAAGAAACAAUAAAACUGAAGCUUUUGAAGACUUGUUUUUGAUGCAUUCUUUAUAGAUAAUGAGAGUGAUGUUGAGGCUUUUGAAAUUAUGCAUCUUGGUUGGAUUUUCGUGAAUGAUGAGAGUGAUAUAGAUACAAAAUCCUUAGAUGACGGUGAUGGGAAAGAAGUGCUCUCGUGGCAAGCUCGCUUUGAUUUAAUUGUUUUCAAGAUCAUGACUUUGAGAGUGAUAUGAAAACUUGGGCCAAAAUCUGGCCAUGGGAAGAGAUUGAGAAAUCACUCGUCCUAACAGAGGAAGGAACAGAAGUGUGGGUUCUGAUUAGCAUGGAUUUUAUUGAUGGAUUGACUAAAUCACAUGGUCCUGAAGUAAACUUCGUAUGGUCAUUUUAUUUCCUUUAAAGCAUCCUUAUACUACUUACUCAGUGGCCAAAUUCUUCAUGGACUUUUAUAGUAAGGUUACAUGGUCUACCCGACAGUAUUAAAAGUGAUAGAGAUGUUGUGUUCCUCGGUAUCUUUUGGCAACAAUUGUUUCCCCUGCAAGGUGUUCAGCUGAAAACGUCAUCAGCAUAUCACCCCCAUAGUGAUGGCCAAAUUGAAGUCCUCAAUAGGUGCUUAGAAACCAAUUUGAGAUGUUUUUGUGCUGAGGAUGAUUGUUUGUGUAUGGCUGAAUAUUGGUAUAAUUCUUGCUAUCAUUCUGCUAUUGAUAAUACAUACACCUUAUGUGAGGCCCUUUUAUCAAUAGAGGGUUGAAAUUGGAACUGUUGAGACAUGAUAUGAUGAGAGCACAACUGAGAAUGGAACAGCAGGCUUGACUAUCAUAGAAGUGACAUGAGUUUUUAAUGUACCUCUCAUACAAUAUAAUUUGGAUUCUUUUUUUGUGUCCAAGCAUCCACUUGUAAUGUUUUUUUUCUCUGUAGUAUACAUGAUAUUGAGAAUCGAAUCAAAGAAAUUAUUUAAGAGUGAUUUGAUGAUAUGAACUCAUGGAAUUCUCUUAUUUAAAA